UACUAAUCCCUUAGCUAAGGGGAAAAUAAAUAAUAGUCUGAGUAACUCUAGACCAGUGCCAACAUUAUGCAUUCGUUUCAGCUGGCGUCCAGAGUGCCUUUCAUGUUUAAAACUUUGACUCGAAUUAAGUGGGGCAACCUGUAUCUCUCUUACAGAACGACUAAUGUGAACGCGAUACUAUGGCGUUUCGACAUGCGAUCACUUGUAUCCGGCAUUCAGUUCACAAAAUGAGGGUACGCAUGCACUUCACAAUGCUUUUAUUAGGUCUAACAUAAAGAAACACUAACGUCCCCGUAAAAUUAAACAAUAAAAAUCACUACAAUAUUCACAACCGCUGGCAUGCGCUAUGUCACGCUGACCCGUGGUUCGCGAAUUCGUCACCUGUGCGGCGCGCGCCUGCCUCUGCAGACGCUGCCGGCAACCGGCCCACCGUAUAUCUGCAUCCAUCCAUGUUUUGAACUGAAACGCCUAUUGGCUUCGGCGGGUGCCUGGCGCUGCCGUGCUUCGCCCAGAGAACGGCCGUUGGAGGGCGAAUCUGUCGCGCGUCACAAGACGCACUCUCGCCCCGGGUCCCUCACGGCUUUAAAUACCAGCCGCAGCUGGUCGCAGGCGUCAGAACCCACGCUGAAUUCCUCCGGAAACAGUGGCAGACGACAGUGGCAGCAGACGACAACAACCCUGGCGUCCAACCACCUCCAAGCGUUCCGGUACCGCCUGCAGUCUGGGAGGCCCCGUGGUGCUGGCUUGCUCCGUGCCGCCUGAUAACCUGGCUUGGCAAGGCAGUGACGCGUCCGGCUGAUUCGGUGACUCGCUCGGAGCUGCGCGUUUUCUGCGAGAGGGUGGCGUCGAACACCUCCGCCUUGGCAUCGCAUCUGAGCGACUCGGAGGGCCUGGUUACGACGCAGCGUGUGCGGCAGGUGCUCGAAGUGACGGGUGGCCUCGGACGAGAAGCAGCCUGCAGUGACGGUGACAGCGAAGCGAAAUGGAACGUCUCGUGGCUCGUUCUACCGCACCAUCAGGAGAGAAUGAGGGAAAGCGCGGACUGUUACCGAUGUACGGGCUUCAUCGUUUCAAGUACUGCCUACGGGAGAGCCUGUGCAUAACACGGUCGUUCCCGGGAACCCACGUGCCCAAGCAUCCGACGACGAUCGCGUCCACCGUCACGGGCUGGAACGCCGGAGGAGAUGCUGCUGUACGGAGGCCUACAUCUCUUCCUUCGCCUUCCGGGUGUCAGGAAACGCCUGUAACCUGUUAUCGAAGGGACAGCAGACGUCCAGGAUAAGUGCCUCCUCUCCACAGGCCGCACCAGGUCGUGCUUCAGAGGUGUGGUGCCGAUGACCUCGUUCUCUGCAAGGAAUGCACCUCCCCAAGGCAGCCUUUUUAUUCGUUUGACGAUGGCUUUUCGCCCCGGAGAUAACGCCCUAUCAGGGUCGUUAGUCUAUUGGUGACGAACCUGGGCAUCUCAGCUACUCUCGCCACGUAGAAUGCAGG
Dermacentor albipictus is the source of this 1491-nucleotide long non-coding RNA. RefSeq lists it as uncharacterized. NCBI's taxonomy places the organism in Eukaryota, Metazoa, Arthropoda, Arachnida, Ixodida, Ixodidae. The record is from RefSeq and is a predicted model, not a curated record.